AGCAGUGUGGCUUAGCGGACAGAGCAUGUUCCUGGAAGUCAGAAGGACCUGAGUUCUAAUCCCGGCUCUGCUG
Molecule: transfer RNA, 73 nt
Filed under: Ornithorhynchus anatinus (platypus)
Lineage: Eukaryota; Metazoa; Chordata; Mammalia; Monotremata; Ornithorhynchidae
Rfam family: tRNA
About the family: Transfer RNA (tRNA) molecules are approximately 80 nucleotides in length. Their secondary structure includes four short double-helical elements and three loops (D, anti-codon, and T loops). Further hydrogen bonds mediate the characteristic L-shaped molecular structure. tRNAs have two regions of fundamental functional importance: the anti-codon, which is responsible for specific mRNA codon recognition, and the 3' end, to which the tRNAs corresponding amino acid is attached (by aminoacyl-tRNA synthetases). tRNAs cope with the degeneracy of the genetic code in two manners: having more than one tRNA (with a specific anti-codon) for a particular amino acid; and 'wobble' base-pairing, i.e. permitting non-standard base-pairing at the 3rd anti-codon position.
Source: Rfam by way of RNAcentral